This 1063-nucleotide ribosomal RNA is filed under the name Limnadia lenticularis. Its description in RNAcentral is "eukaryotic LSU rRNA". It matches the Rfam family "Eukaryotic large subunit ribosomal RNA", at positions 29 to 978 of the family's 3401-position model. The record is from RNAcentral. Lineage: Eukaryota; Metazoa; Arthropoda; Branchiopoda; Diplostraca; Limnadiidae.
UGAAUUUAAGCAUAUCACUAAGCGGAGGAAAAGAAACUAACAAGGAUUCCCCUAGUAGCGGCGAGCGAAGAGGGAAGAGCCCAGCACCGAACCUCGCGCCCUCGGGUGUCGCGGAAUGUGGUGUUCAGGAGGACCGUGCGCGUCUGUCCGGUAUCGUCCAAGUCUCCAUGAAUGGGGCCAGCAACCCAGAGAGGGUGUCAGGCCCGUGGGACGAGCCGCGACCGUGUAUUGGGUCUCUCCUUAGAGUCGGGUUGCUUGAGAGUGCAGCCCUAAGCGGGAGGUAAACUCCUUCUAAGGCUAAAUACGGCCACGAGACCGAUAGCAAACAAGUACCGCGAGGGAAAGUUGAAAAGAACUUUGAAGAGAGAGUUCAAGAGUGCGUGAAACCGUUCAGGGGGUUAAACGGGUGGGCCCUCGAAGGUCGAACGGUCCCCACUCCCGUCACCUGUAGUGCCGGCCCGUGCUGCUUUUCGAUUCCGCUACGGAACGAGGCUUGGUGCGGUUCGCCGGUCUACGGGGGCCGCUAGCUGGGGACCCAGUAGGACUCCGCAACCGGCUGGGAGGCCGUCAGAAGGGUUCUGUGAGGAAGCCCCCUCGUUGGGGUGGAUUCCGGGAUUCCGGGCGGUCCUCUCGGCCGUGAACCAAAAUUUCUCUCCUCACGGGGAGAAUGAGCGGAGAGUAGAGUCGGGUCCCACCCGACCCGUCUUGAAACACGGACCAAGGAGUCUAACAUGUGCGCGAGUCGUCGGGUACUACUAAACCCGAAGGCGUAAUGAAAGUGAAGGCCGCCCUUGUUGGCGGCCGAGGGGAGAUCCCGUUCUGCUCCGGUAGCUCGGGCGCAUCCCCGGGGCGUCGAAGCCGCGUUGCCGGCUAGACGAACCAAGAGCGUACACGUUGGGACCCGAAAGAUGGUGACCUAUGCCUGGCCAGGACGAAGCCAGGGGAAACCCUGGUGGAGGUCCGCAGCGAUUCUGACGUGCAAAUCGAUCGUCUGAGUUGGGUAUAGGGGCGAAAGACUAAUCGAACCAUCUAGUAGCUGGUUCCCCCCGAAGUUCCCUCAGAA